Molecule: long non-coding RNA, 445 nt
Organism: Fopius arisanus
Lineage: Eukaryota; Metazoa; Arthropoda; Insecta; Hymenoptera; Braconidae
Exons: 2
Source: RefSeq, a predicted model, not a curated record
UGCUCCGAUACUUGGGGAUGAAUUGAUCCUGCUGGAGAUCCUUCUUCCUGGUGAUUUUUUACUUGUGCAAACGAAUAAUCCAGGGAUCUCAGAAUUGAUGGGAGAGUGAAAAAUGGAAAGCUACAGUCGUAACCACUGCGGGAAUGUGUGGUUUCACACUGACUUUCGAUACCAAUCCCUCAUUGGCUCAUCGUCACGUGACCUUGGAUCAUCCAAGGGCGAUCUAUACACUUUAUUUCGUUUACUCGUUUGAUGAGUAAGAGUGACAUGUAAAUAAACUUAUGAUCAAUGUUGCAUCAUUUUUUGGAAAUUAUGAGUCUUAGGAAACGACGCACGAAUUAUUUCCUGAAUCGAUGAGAUAUAUCUAUGAAUUAUAUUUUGUUUAUAUUAGCAUCAGCUGUUUGUUAUUGUACUUAUGAAUAAAGAAUUUAAAUAAUUCCAACAA